Molecule: small nuclear RNA, 102 nt
Organism: Erinaceus europaeus (western European hedgehog)
Lineage: Eukaryota; Metazoa; Chordata; Mammalia; Eulipotyphla; Erinaceidae
Source: Ensembl
CUGCUUGCUUCAGCAGUACAUCUACUGAAAACAGAAUAAUAGAUUAUUAGCAUGGCCCUGUGCAAGGAUGACACACACAUUUGUGAAGCACUCCUAAUUUUU